This 301-nucleotide ribosomal RNA is filed under the name uncultured bacterium. RNAcentral describes it as "partial 16S ribosomal RNA". It matches the Rfam family "Bacterial small subunit ribosomal RNA", at positions 509 to 809 of the family's 1533-position model. The record is from RNAcentral.
CAGUCGCCACGGUAAUACGAAGGGGGCUAGCGUUGUUCGGAAUCACUGGGCGUAAAGGGUGCGUAGGCGGAUUCUUAAGUCAGGGGUGAAAUCCCGAGGCUCAACCUCGGAACUGCCUUUGAUACUGGGGAUCUUGAGUCCGGAAGAGGUGAGUGGAACUGCGAGUGUAGAGGUGAAAUUCGUAGAUAUUCGCAAGAACACCAGUGGCGAAGGCGGCUCACUGGUCCGGAACUGACGCUGAGGCACGACAGCGUGGGGAGCAAACAGGAUUAGAUACCCGGGUAGUCCCUGUCUCUUAUAU